Molecule: long non-coding RNA, 2609 nt
Organism: Gasterosteus aculeatus aculeatus (three-spined stickleback)
Lineage: Eukaryota; Metazoa; Chordata; Actinopteri; Perciformes; Gasterosteidae
Source: Ensembl
GGGCGAAAGAGUUCAAUAUGAUUAAAAUAAACCAAGCAAUAAAUAAGUAAAGAGAUGAAGUCACAUGAAAGCCAGCCUGUAAACAUGUGUUCUAAGAAGAGAUUCCUGAGACAUUACUGAUUAUGUCAGUGGUAUCUCCUCCAUCAAGUCGUUCCAAAGCAAACAGCCGUAACAGCAGAAGCCCAAUGGUCUUAAUAAGAACAGCGACCGGUCGACUCACUACUCAGGAAACCGAGAGAUGGGUUUUAUUCUUUAUGCGUAGUUGAGGACAAGCAAGGUUCACUCCACAAAAUUGGUGGAAGGCAAAUGUACAAACCGGGUCAGGCAGAGACAGAUUUAAGCCCAAUCCCAAUCUCCAUGCUCACCCCUGAACCCUCAGGGACUUAAGUGACGUCACCUGGUAAGUGUUCGAGUGUGAGUCUGAGGGCUUUAAAUUGUGUAAACAUGAGUGGGACAGCACUUUGCUGCCACAUGUCACGUCACCCAGACAGUCAAAUAUAUGUGUGUGUAUAUAUGAUUUAUAAUUGAGUGUUUCAAGCUCCUUCCUCAUAAAAUGAAAGGUCAUAGUUGGUUAGUGUUUUUGUUUAUUUUUUAUCAUGAACAGAUGAAUGAAUCAGGUUGCAUAUGUUUUAAAUGUAUACAUUUUAUGACACUUGUGUCACUUCUUUUUUUUUUAACGUCUUCAUGCUUUCGCUGGUUAUGUUUUUUAACAUCACAUUUCCUUGACCCGUGGGCGGAAUUUGACUUUGCAUGGAAGAAGUGCGUGUUUGCUUGGCGAAUGGUACAAGACAAACCGGCAUUAACCAACAGAGCCGCCACUUAACGCACACAGGGAGGGUGAAUCUACAAGACACAGGUAAGUAAGGCGGCUGCAAUAAGCGCACUAGAAAGACAUGUCAAGAAACUUAAGAGACACGAUUGUCAAAGUAAAACAGGAAUCCCAGUGGAAACUGAAGUAAAUAAGAAAAGGUGCUUAAUUUCCUGAUCGAGCCCUUAAACGCGCGACUUCAGUUGUCAGCUUUGACUUUGAAGCAGCUGGAAGCGGAGAAUCCAGGGCAGCCAGCCUGGUUAGAGCGGGUCAACAUUUCCUUCCUCUUGUGCUUCAAAAGUAAAAUAUUAAAUUGAAUUCUAAAACCAGUGAAACCAGGGAAGUGAAGCCAAGUUUGUUGUGUAACAGGAUGGCACGGAAGAUAGUGAAUAAAUGGCAGCGCAGCAGUCAUGAGGCAGAGGGUGUCUUCGGAGACAUUUUAAUCAACCAAUCAAAGAAACAAAAUUAAUCACUCCGGUAAUUUCCAGCAGCCAGCAAAACCUAAUCACAAUUUAAGUGCCCAGGGCUGCUAUCCGGUUUACCAAGGUCUUCUCCCCAAACUGUCUUUUCUCCCACUACUCCUUUCAUCUUCCUUAUAUAGCCCCUUGACGACAUGAGGUCCAGGUGUGUCUCCUGGCACACCUGAUCUUGAUGAGUUCAAUUUCUGACGCUCAAUUUAGGUGGCCCGCCUUCCCAAUAUAUCUCCCCUCGACCACUCUGCCCCUCAGCUCCUUACAGUUGUCUUUUUUAAAAGAGAGAGAAUCUGUUGAGUUCUAAACCAGUUGCAGGCAAAAGUGGGAAUGUUGGUUGACUCCAGAGUGAAGAGAGUUACGGUAAUCACGUCUUGAAAAGAGUAAUACAUGAAUGACAUUUUCCACGUUAGGAUGUGAGAUAAUUGGUUUGAUUUUGGAGAUUGUUCUUAAAGUAAACUGCCCAAGAUUUAUUUUUGGGACUUAAGUUUUAAAGCUUAAUAUCAAAGUAUAAUCACUCACAAGGGAUGAGGGGAACUUUCAAUGCAUGUGUGUGUGCAUAUGUUUUUAUCUUUGUUGCAUUACUUCUCAAGUGAGACUGAGAGGAAGAAAGUUUUGGGAAUUCCAUAAACGGGCACAAUCAGCCGCAGGGCUUCACAUGAAUAUGCAUGAGCACACAGGGACAACAACCAAGUUGUGUUUAUUUGUAUGCGUGUGUGUGAGGUAAAGCGAGAGCGAUAGAUGAGGUUCUGGUAGAAUAAUUAGUUAUUUGUCAGUUUGGAAAUUGAGGAAGACAGUUGAUGUUUCACACCGUGAGUGACUGAGUGACAGGAAUUGAGAAAAGAAGUGAUGCAAGAAAAAGAAAGCGGGAGUAAAAGAAAACAAUUAGGGUGUGAAAUAAUUCUGCAGGAGAUGAAACGUGUGUGUGUGUGUGUGUGUGUGUGUGUGUGUGUUUUCACAAAAAAAAGGUGCUACCGGAUUAAUCCGAGUUGCUUGGAGCGGUUGUGUGCGUCCAGGAGGAUACUGAUAGAGAUUAAUUGUGUAACUUACAUGUUCACACCGGCCCUUUUAUUCAACCGGAUUAAUUGUGCUUCUCAAAUUUUCUGUGACAUAAGGUACCCGUCUCAACUAAUUACAACAUCAGAAAUAUCAUCAGCUCUAUCAGGUACUAGAAGGCUGGCCUGUCCGCCUGGAGAUGUUGCAUUAACACAGAUUUCCAGCUCCACAGCGACUGAUCACAACACAUCCACAGUCCAUCAUUUGCAGCACAGCCAGGCCUGUCUCAGGAAACAUCCUUAGCUUUUUGACUUUUGAUUCUCUGUUUAACACAG